GGCCGCGGGAAUUCGAUUGGAUUAGGCAUGCAAGUCGAACGAGGAAGUGCCCCGUAAGGGGCGCAAGCCUAGUGGCGAAAGGGUGAGUAAUGCAUUGAUAACCUGCCUUUGAGAUGGGAAUAACUGCGUUUCGGGCAAUCGGAACUACCGAAAGGGCUGCUAAUACCCAAUAAUACUAUAGGUGCAAAAGCACUUGUGGUCAAAUGCUAGGAAUUCUGUUCCUUGUGCUUAAAGAGGGGUUAAUGUCCUAUCAGCUAGUUGGUGGGGUAAUGGCCUACCAAGGCAAAGACGGGUAGCCGGCUUGAGAGGGUGGUCGGCCACACUGGGACUGAGACACUGCCCAGACUCCUACGGGAGGCUGCAGUCGAGAAUCUUUCGCAAUGCCCGAAAGGGUGACGAAGCGACGCCGCGUGUGGGAAGAAGGCCUUCGGGUUGUAAACCACUGUCGGGAGUUAGGAAAUGCAGGUGCGUUAAUAGCGCACUUGCUUGACUAAGGCUCCAGAGGAAGCCACGGCUAACUCUGUGCCAGCAGCCGCGGUAAUACAGAGGCGGCAAGCGUUGUUCGGAAUUAUUGGGCGUAAAGAGCACGUAGGCGGCCUUGCAAGUCAGUUGUGAAAGCCUUCCGCUUAACGGAAGAACGGCAUCUGAUACUACAGGGCUUGAGUACGGGAGGGGAGAGUGGAACUUCUGGUGGAGCGGUGAAAUGCGUAGAUAUCAGAAGGAACGCCGGCGGCGAAAGCGACUCUCUGGUCCGAAACUGACGCUGAGUGUGCGAAAGCUAGGGGAGCAAACGGGAUUAGAUACCCCGGUAGUCCUAGCCGUAAACGAUGGGCACUAAGUAGAGGGGUUUUAAUCACUAGUGAAUUCGCGGCCGCCUGCAGGUCGACCAUAUGGGAGAGCUCCCAACGCGUUGGAUGCAUAGCUUGAGUAUUCUAUAGGU
This 940-nucleotide ribosomal RNA is filed under the name uncultured Planctomycetota bacterium. RNAcentral describes it as "bacterial SSU rRNA". It matches the Rfam family "Bacterial small subunit ribosomal RNA", at positions 31 to 873 of the family's 1533-position model. The record is from RNAcentral. Lineage: Bacteria; Pseudomonadati; Planctomycetota.